RNAcentral lists this ribosomal RNA (275 nucleotides) under uncultured bacterium. RNAcentral's name for it is "partial 16S ribosomal RNA". It matches the Rfam family "Bacterial small subunit ribosomal RNA", at positions 78 to 353 of the family's 1533-position model. The record is from RNAcentral.
UCUAAGUUUGAUGGCGACCGGCGCACGGGUGAGUAACACGUAUCCAACCUGCCGAUGACUCGGGGAUAGCCUUUCGAAGAAAGAUUAAUACCCGAUGGCAUAGUUCUUCCGCAUGGUAGAACUAUUAAAGAAUUUCGGUCAUCGAUGGGGAUGCGUUCCAUUAGGUUGUUGGCGGGGUAACGGCCCACCAAGCCUUCGAUGGAUAGGGGUUCUGAGAGGAAGGUCCCCCACAUUGGAACUGAGACACGGUCCAAACUCCUACGGGAGGCAGCAUG